GCCCCGGUAGCUCAAUUGGUAGAGCAACAGCCUUUUAAGCUGGAGGUUGGGGGUUCGAUUCCCUCCCGGGGCACAA
Molecule: transfer RNA, 76 nt
Filed under: Candidatus Wolfebacteria bacterium
Lineage: Bacteria; Candidatus Wolfeibacteriota
Description: tRNA-Lys
Rfam family: tRNA
About the family: Transfer RNA (tRNA) molecules are approximately 80 nucleotides in length. Their secondary structure includes four short double-helical elements and three loops (D, anti-codon, and T loops).
Source: RNAcentral